Molecule: ribosomal RNA, 425 nt
Filed under: uncultured soil bacterium
Lineage: Bacteria
Description: bacterial SSU rRNA
Rfam family: Bacterial small subunit ribosomal RNA
Source: RNAcentral
GACCCUUACCAAGGUUUGACAUGGCCGGAAAACUCAUGGAGACAUGGGGUCCUUCGGGGCCGGUCACAGGUGGUGCAUGGCUGUCGUCAGCUCGUGUCGUGAGAUGUUGGGUUAAGUCCCGCAACGAGCGCAACCCUCGUCCCAUGUUGCCAGCAGGUUAAGCUGGGGACUCAUGGGAGACUGCCGGGGUCAACUCGGAGGAAGGUGGGGAUGACGUCAAGUCAUCAUGCCCCUUAUGUCUUGGGCUGCAAACAUGCUACAAUGGCCGGUACAAAGCGCUGCGACAUCGUGAGAUGAAGCGAAUCGCAUAAAGCCGGUCUCAGUUCGGAUCGGGGUCUGCAACCCGGCCCCGUGAAGCCGGAGUCGCUAGUAAUCGCGGAUCAGCAACGCCGCGGUGAAUACGUUCCCGGGCCUUGUCACACCGA